RNAcentral lists this transfer RNA (74 nucleotides) under bacterium. Its description in RNAcentral is "tRNA-Ile". It matches the Rfam family "tRNA". Rfam says of the family: Transfer RNA (tRNA) molecules are approximately 80 nucleotides in length. Their secondary structure includes four short double-helical elements and three loops (D, anti-codon, and T loops). RNAcentral also lists the same sequence under 2 other names. The record is from RNAcentral.
GGGCGAUUAGCUCAGUUGGCUAGAGCGCACCCCUGAUAAGGGUGAGGUCACUGGUUCGAAUCCAGUAUUGCCCA